UACGUAGGGGGCAAGCGUUGUCCGGAUUCAUUGGGCGUAAAGAGCGUGUAGGCGGCCAGGUAGGUCGGUUGUGAAAACUGGAGGCUCAACCUUCAGAGGUCGACCGAAACCAUCUGGCUAGAGUCCGGGAGAGGAGAGUGGAAUUCCUGGUGUAGCGGUGGAAUGCGCAGAUAUCAGGAGGAACACCAACGGCGAAGGCAGCUCGCUGGGACGGUACUGACGCUAAGGCGCGAAAGCGUGGGGAGCGAACAGG
This 253-nucleotide ribosomal RNA is filed under the name uncultured bacterium. Its description in RNAcentral is "partial 16S ribosomal RNA". It matches the Rfam family "Bacterial small subunit ribosomal RNA", at positions 524 to 776 of the family's 1533-position model. The record is from RNAcentral.